GCCAGGUGUGAUGGCUCACACCUGUAGUCCCAGCUACUUGGGAGGCUGAGGCAGAAGAAUUGCUUGAACCCGGGAGGCAGAGGUUGCAGUGAGCCGAGAUGGUGCCACUGCACUCCAGCCUGGGUGACAGAGCGAGACUCCGUCUCAA
This 148-nucleotide small RNA is filed under the name Cercocebus atys (sooty mangabey). RNAcentral describes it as "Metazoan signal recognition particle RNA". Lineage: Eukaryota; Metazoa; Chordata; Mammalia; Primates; Cercopithecidae. RNAcentral also lists the same sequence under 2 other names. The record is from Rfam by way of RNAcentral.